RNAcentral lists this ribosomal RNA (507 nucleotides) under uncultured bacterium. RNAcentral describes it as "bacterial SSU rRNA". It matches the Rfam family "Bacterial small subunit ribosomal RNA", at positions 32 to 518 of the family's 1533-position model. The record is from RNAcentral.
AACGCUGGCGGCGUGCUUAACACAUGCAAGUCGAACGCGAAAGGGACUUCGGUCCUGAGUAAAGUGGCGCACGGGUGAGUAACGCGUAGAUAACCUGUCUUCAUGUCUGGAAUAAUACGCCGAAAGGGGUACUAAUACCGGAUAUUCUUGCUUUUCAUAAGUUAUGCAAGCAAAGGUGGCCUCUGCAUAUGCUACUGCAUGAAGAGGGGUCUGCGUACCAUUAGCUAGUAGGUGGGGUAAUGGCCUACCUAGGCGACGAUGGUUAGCGGGUCUGAGAGGAUGAUCCGCCACACUGGCACUGGAACACGGGCCAGACUCCUACGGGAGGCAGCAGUGAGGAAUAUUGCGCAAUGGGGGGAACCCUGACGCAGCGACGCCGCGUGAGUGAAGGAAGGCCUUCGGGUCGUAAAGCUCUGUCAAGAGGAAAGAAGUGUACAAUGGCUAAUACCUGUUGUAUUUGACGGUACCUCUAAAGGAAGCACCGGCUAACUCCGUGCCAGCAGCCGC